GACGAACGCUGGCGGCGUGCUUAACACAUGCAAGUCGAACGGAAAGGCCCUGCUUUUGUGGGGUGCUCGAGUGGCGAACGGGUGAGUAACACGUGAGUAACCUGCCCUUGACUUUGGGAUAACUUCAGGAAACUGGGGCUAAUACCGGAUAGGAGCUCCUGCUGCAUGGUGGGGGUUGGAAAGUUUCGGCGGUUGGGGAUGGACUCGCGGCUUAUCAGCUUGUUGGUGGGGUAGUGGCUUACCAAGGCUUUGACGGGUAGCCGGCCUGAGAGGGUGACCGGCCACAUUGGGACUGAGAUACGGACCAGUCUCCUACGGGAGGCAGCAGUGGGGAAUAUGGCACAAUGGGCGGAAGCCUGAUGCAGCAACGCCGCGUGCGGGAUGACGGCCUUCGGGUUGUAAACCGCUUUCGCCUGUGACGAAGCGUGAGUGACGGUAAUGGGUAAAGAAGCACCGGCUAACUACGUG
RNAcentral lists this ribosomal RNA (468 nucleotides) under uncultured bacterium. RNAcentral describes it as "partial 16S ribosomal RNA". It matches the Rfam family "Bacterial small subunit ribosomal RNA", at positions 28 to 507 of the family's 1533-position model. The record is from RNAcentral.